Molecule: long non-coding RNA, 4423 nt
Organism: Corythoichthys intestinalis (scribbled pipefish)
Lineage: Eukaryota; Metazoa; Chordata; Actinopteri; Syngnathiformes; Syngnathidae
Exons: 3
Source: RefSeq, a predicted model, not a curated record
AUCCAAAAAUAAAUAUGGAAAUAAAUAGCUAAUUAUAUAAAAGUAAAAAUAAAAAUGAAUAUAUAUACAAAAAUAAGAAAUUACAUUAAAAUGUAAGAAUAAAUACAAAAAUAAAUUUGGAAAUAAAUGCAAAAAUAAAUAUAUUGAUUGAAAUAAAUGUCAAUCAAUAAAUAAAAGCGCUUUGCCUUAUAUUUACUUAUUUCAUUGUCAGCGCCAACUUGCAAGUGGAAAUGUAAUUCAAAUGAGGGGGCGUUCCUAAGGGUGCCAUGGGUUGAACUAUUCGCUUAUUGGUUGAUCGACAUUCGAUUUCUGAAAUCUACUAGCCAUGCCUGCCACAGAUGACAGAACGUGGGUCUGAAAGUCAGGGAAACAGCCGACCUAGUUUAGUAGUCCUACUUGGUGAGAAGUGAGAGAAUAUGCAUUAUCCACCGCCGAAUGUCAAAGCAUGGUAUAAGAGUCUCUGACUUGAAUAAUUCCACUGACAUCGCAACGUUGGAUGCUGGGUGAUUACAGGGAUCCCAGGAUCUCAUCCAAAUUCUGGGUUCAGAAUGAUGCAAGGACGUCUCAGGUUCCGACGUACAAAGGUUCAGAGACUUCGUGUGCAAGAAUCCAUGACACGUCUGGAUCCACUGGGAAUUGUCCGCACACUACAACUACAAACUGUUCGCCGUAGAUCAGGGGUCCCCAAACUACGGCCCGCGGGCCGGAUACGGCCCGCAGCCACAUUUGGUCCGGCCCCCUGAACAAAAAAAAAAAAAAAAUGUAAAAAAAAAAAAAAUUUUUUUUUUUUUUUUUCCCAAUAGAGUUAUUUAUGUCCUGGCUUUUUUCUGUGAAGAACUGAGCAAUGGUUAUUUGGUUAUUAUCUGUUUAAUUAAUACAGUAUUAUUAUAUUAUAUUAUAUUAUAUUAUAUUAUAUUAUAUUCAGAGGUGCACAUAAGUGGUCCGCACAUGCGUACUGGACGUAGACAAACGCGCUGGCCCUCAACGGCUUCCAUACGCUUUUGCGUACCGAUGGCUGACCACUCUAUUUGCGGCGGACACGAGAAAAUAACUUCUCAAAAUGUCGAUGAGGCAGGCCACACUGAGUAAUUACUUCCGUGUUCCCCCACCCCCGUCAAAAGACAGACAGACGACAGAGACGUCACCGGAGCUACCGAAAAAAAGGACUUUUGCUGAAAAGUGGCUACAGGAGGUACCAUGGCUAGAAGCGAAUGAUGCUCGCACGGAAAUGUGCCGUGAGAAUCCCAAUGUCGCCGAUUAGAGCAACGCAUUUUAUGUAGGGUCAAAGAAUUUCAGCCAUCCAAAUUUUGAAAAGCACGAAAAAAACAGAGAGCAUGUGGCAAUUAAGCAAACUAUCGAUGUCAAACAGGACCCCACUCGCCCUAUGGACAUGUGGCGGAAUAGGGCGGAAUAAAGGUAAUGAACAGCGAUAUGCACUGACAAACGUGUUUUUGCUCGCAUUUUACAAAGCUAAACAUGCACGUUCAAUGAGGUCUUAUGAGGAGGACAUCCCACUUUUAAAAAGGCUUGGAGUUAAUGUGGGAGCCGCAUAAUGCCCUUUAUUUUGAAUUGGUGCUUUUAUGUUUAUUUCUUUACAUUUCACUUCAAAGUGAUGGCAAUUUUGUUGUGCCAGUUGAUGUUAAUCAAGCAUUAACUGUUAAUAUAAUUAAUCAAAGUUAAUUGGCUCUAAGUAAAGCUUGUCAUAAAUUUAUCGCAUCAGGUGGGUCGGCUCUCAAGCUCAAUGAGGACCAAGUCACAUCUCCAGGUCCUCCUCUGAGAACCUGGGCAAAAAAAAUAUGUGCACCCCUGAUUAUAUUAUAAUAUAUUAUAUUAUAUUAUAUUAUAUUAAGGGCUGUCAAAGUUAUCGCGUUAACGGGCAGUAAUUAAUUUUUUUCAUUAAUCACGUUAAAAUAUUUGACGCAAUUAACGCAUAUGCCCCGUUCAAACAGAUUAAAAUGACAGCAGUGUCAUGUCCACUUGUUACUUGUGUUUUUUGUCUCCCUCUGCUGGCGCUUGGGUGCGACUGAUUUUAUGCACCAUGAGCAUUGUGUAAUUCUUGACAUCAACAAUGGUGAGCUACUAGUUAAUUUUUUUGAUUGAAAAUUUUACCAAUUUUAUUAAAACGAAAACAUUAAGAGGGGUUUUAACAUAAAAUUUCUAUAAUUUGUACUAAAAUCUAUCUUUUAAGAACUACAAGUCUUUCUACCCAGGGAUUGCUUUGACAGAAUAUUAAUGUUAAUGCCAUCUUGUUGAUUUAUUGUUAUAAUAAACAAAUACAGUACUUAUGUACAGUAUGUUGAAUGUAUAUAUCCGUCUUGUGUCUUAUCUUUCCAUUCCAACAAUAAUUUACAGAAAAAUAAGGCAUAUUUUAGAGAUGUUUGAAUUUGCGAUUAAUUACGAUUAAUUUUUAAGCUGUGAUUAACUCGCUUAAAAUUUUUAAUCGUUUGACAGCCCUAAUUAUAUUAUAUUCUACUAUAUUAUAUCAUUUUUAUUUUAUUUACUUUGGUUCCGUGAAGAAUCCAGAAAGGGUUAUUUGAUUGUGGCUUUCUGAAAAACAAUACAUUUUUACAUUUAGGCACUCCUGCAAUCGUCACACUUUUUCUGUUACAAACUGACCCCGGCCCCUCAUCAGAGAAGAGAAGGGUUAUGUGGCCCUCACAGGAAAAAGUUUGGGGACCCCUGCCGUAGAUGAUAUUCUGUGCCAGCCCCCAACAGUCAAAGGCAUAUUAAAGCUCUAUAUUGGGGGACUCGGAAGGAAGUACAAAAAUAAAUUAAGACCAUAUUUUUUUCACCCAUUUUGGAAAGAUAAACCCAUAUACAGUAUAAUAUAGACCAUUUUAAAUUAAGUUUAAAUAUUUCAUGCUUUUAUUAUUUAUAAUGUGCUAGGAAUCUAAUUAAUUUAGAUUUGGAGUGCUUUCGCUGCCAGCCUCUCCCAGUCAAAAAUUGAUUGGAUGUCAAGCGCUGUCAAUGGCAGCCAAUGAGUUAAAUGUUGAUGUUUAUGGCUUGCAAAAAUAAGAAACCCUAAAAUUUUAUGUCUCAGAAUUAAGAAAAAAAAAAUUCUGGGCCCUGCAACACAUUGUCUGUUAUUGCAGAAAUGUUGAUAUAGUUUUAGUUGCCACUUCUGGGAGAUGAUUGAAAUUUUACCCAUCAAAAUCAAAUUAUGAGGUGUGGCACGCCCUCUUUGCUUGUUGGCUCUUUGAAAAUGGCUUAACAAGUUCAACUUCAAAAGGGAUCAUGUAAAGUGCACAUUUCUAAUCAAAAACAUAACAUUAAAAAAAAAAAAAACAAUAAAAGCAUGAAAUAUCCCUGACCAAAAAAGUUAAAUAAAAUUAUAUAAAUGCUAACACUUUCACAGUCUAGGGCUAGGCACAUACAGAUGAGGCUAAUCAAUAACUAAAUUUGCCAUAUACGAUGUGUGCAUGUUUAGUUAUGUUUUAGGACUAGUUGGUUCAACUUUAAAUUACAUAUUUGCAGUUUUAUGUGAUGAUCCACAUGGUCAUCACCCCCAUGUCGAUGUCAGUCCCAGAAGUGCAGCUGCGACAGGCCUCGACUCCUGAAGAAAUUCAGCAGAUGUCAGAAUUUUCUAAUGUAUUGAAUGUCUACAACGAGACUAUCCAUCCUGCGUCAAAUAUUUGGACUUGUUUUAAAUGACAGCAUAGAAUGUUGGUUGUCGUUGAUGUGACAGUACCUCAAUAAUGUGAAGAAAUAAUAAAGGCAAUGAUUGUUUUUCUGCAAAGUAAUAUUUUAUUGAUGACCAGUGUAAUACAAUACAAAUGAUAAACAGGCAAUUGAUGUACAAAAAAGGACUUCCAGCACAACUAACUCGUUCAUCAAAAAAAAUUGUCCACUGGACACCAACAUGAGCCACUUAAGGUCAGUAACUUUUUCCCCUAAUACUGGCCAACUGCUCACCAUCAGCAUUCCCUGAAAUGUAAAUUUAUUGCGUCUUCGGGGAGCUUUAGGGUUAAAAAAAAAAAAAAAAAAAAAGCACGUAGAUAAGUGAGGACGAGAGAUGUCUUAUUGUUGAGGUACGACACCCCAACCUUCCUCAGAAGUAUCUAGAAGAAAAUAGAUGACAACGGCAAAAUGGUAUAAUAGAUUAGCUAUGAAAGCAUUAAACGAGACACCAGCCGGUGCAAACAGUCUCCCGGAGCACCACACGAACUUGAAUGUGUGAAUUUUGCUUCACUAAAUUGCGCUAACGCUAAACUAUUCCUUGUGAGUUUAAUGUUGUUAGCAGCUUUAUCCAUGUCCCACCUUGCCUCCCCUUCCUGAGACCCAAUGCAAGGUAUUAGCUUAUGGAAGAUUAUAUAUAGAUUCAACAUACCUCAACUGGACUUAAGUAAAAAGUUUUUUAAAAAAACACACACCAAAUUACCAAUUCAAUACGUACCUUGUCCUCAUCCAACCGAUUGCCAGCAUC